RNAcentral lists this long non-coding RNA (280 nucleotides) under Panax ginseng (ginseng). RNAcentral's name for it is "long non-coding RNA (PGIN_LNC015986)". The record is from RNAcentral. Lineage: Eukaryota; Viridiplantae; Streptophyta; Magnoliopsida; Apiales; Araliaceae.
UGCUCCUCGAUCUCCUCCUACCGUGAGAACGAUCCUUAGACACAUGUGUAGAAUGCUCCGGCUCUUUACCCUCUCGCCGUGGCAUCUCCUUAUGCUUACUCCGCCUUUCGGACUGAACAUGGCUAGAUGCUUCGUCCCUUAACUCCGCCACUCGAAGCAUCUGGUCGGCUAUAUCUUCUUUCUACUUUAACAAAACCUCCAAGGCUUUAUCUGCUUCGUCCUUCAUCCUCGCCAACUUGGCAGCUCUGUCCUCCUGACCAUUUCGGCGAUGGAUCUUGGU